Molecule: RNase P RNA, 341 nt
Filed under: Bacteroides sp.
Lineage: Bacteria; Pseudomonadati; Bacteroidota; Bacteroidia; Bacteroidales; Bacteroidaceae
Description: RNase P RNA component class A
Rfam family: Bacterial RNase P class A
About the family: Ribonuclease P (RNase P) is a ubiquitous endoribonuclease, found in archaea, bacteria and eukarya as well as chloroplasts and mitochondria. Its best characterised activity is the generation of mature 5'-ends of tRNAs by cleaving the 5'-leader elements of precursor-tRNAs.
Source: RNAcentral
GGAGCAGCUGGUCCCGUCGCUCCGGACGGAUUUCCGCCCGGGGAGGAAAGUCCGGGCAGCACAGGGUGCCGCACUGUUGAAAAACAGGUACCUGCGAAGGUACGGCAGCAAAGAAGAAAAGAACCGCCCCGGUGAAAACCGGGGUAAGGGUGAGAAGGUGGGGUAAGCGCCCACCAGUGCGGUGGGUGACCAUCGCAGCUGUUUGCCCUGCGGGCUGAAAGGCCAUGUAUACCGGCGUAAAAAAAGUGACCCGCUUCUGCCGGGGGGUAGGCCGAUCAGAUCAAUGACGGGGGUCCCGGUGAAACGGGAUACAGAACCUGGCUUAUACAGCUGCUCUUUUU